UGAGUUAACACCUCCACCUACAAAUAAGCAGUGAGAGAAUAGCAAUGCUUCAGAUAUUUUCACAUAUAUAAUCUUGGGGAACAAAAGUCCCUGUCUUGCAAAGCGUUCUUUAGUCAUUAUAUCUAUGCUUGCAAAGAUGUGUAAAAAAAAAAAAGCUUACCGUUUUGAACGAUAUCAGAGCUGUCCUGCAAAUAAACACAAAAAACAAUAAAUUGAUGUUAUAAUUUGACGUUGUCAGUAUUUGAUGUCAAUGUGACAUUGGCUUGAGACGUUGGCUCGACGUUGGGUCUAGGUUAGUUAAUAUCACAACCUAAAAACAAACUAAAGAUUAAAGUCAAAUGACGUUAUAAUUUGACGUUGAUUGGACGUUACCACUAUGACGUCUUGAAGACAUUGGAUUUUGGUUGCCAUACCUGACGACUAAACAUCAGUAUUUGAUGUCAAUGUGAUGUUGGCCUGAGACGUUGGCUCGACGUUGGGUUUAGGUUAGUUAAUGUCACAACCUAAAAACAAACUAAAGAUCAAAGUCAUAUGACGUUAUAAUUUGACGUUGUGUAGACGUUGCCAUUAUGACGUCUAGGAAACAUUGGAUUUUGGUUGCCAUACCUGACGACUAAGUAUCAGUAUUUGAUGUCAAUGUGACGUUGGCUUGAGACGUUGGCUCGACGUUGGAUUUUGGUUAGUUAAUGCCACAACCUAAAAACUAACUACAGAUCAAUAUCAAAUGAUGUUUUAAUUUGACAUUGUGUAGACGUUGCCAUUAUGACGUCUAGGAAACAUUGGAUUUUGGUUGCCAUACCUGACGACUAAGUAUCAGUAUUUGAUGUCAAUCUGACGUUGGCUUGAGACGUUGUCUUGAUGUUGGAUUUUGGUUAGUUAAUGUCACAACCUAAAAACAAACUAAAGAUCAAAGUCAAAUGACGUUAUAAUUUGACGUUGAUUGGACGUUACCAUUAUGACGUCUUGAAGACAUUGGAUUUUGGUUGCCAUACCUGAUGAAUAAACAUCAGUAUUUGAUGUCAAUGUGACAUUGGCUUGAGACGUUGGCUCGACGUUGGGUUUAGUUUAGUUAAUGUCACAACCUAAAAACAAACUAAAGAUCAAAGUCAAAUGACGUUAUAAUUUGACGUUGAUUGGACGUUACCAUUAUGACGUCUUGAAGACAUUGGAUUUUGGUUGCCAUACCUGACGACAAAACAUACGUUUUUGAUGUCAAUGUGACGUUGGCUUAAGACGUUGGCUCGAUGUUGGAUUUUGGUUAGUUAAUGUCACAACCUAAAACUAACUACAGAUCAACAUCAAAUGAUGUUUUAAUUUGAC
This is a long non-coding RNA of Cyprinus carpio carpio, 1320 nucleotides long. Lineage: Eukaryota; Metazoa; Chordata; Actinopteri; Cypriniformes; Cyprinidae. The record is from Ensembl.